Molecule: ribosomal RNA, 263 nt
Filed under: uncultured bacterium
Lineage: Bacteria
Description: partial 16S ribosomal RNA
Rfam family: Bacterial small subunit ribosomal RNA
Source: RNAcentral
UACGUAGGGAGCAAGCGUUGUCCGGAAUUACUGGGUGUAAAGGGAGUGUAGGCGGGACGGCAAGUCAGAUGUGAAAUCUAUGGGCUCAACCCAUAGCGUGCAUUUGAAACUGUUGUUCUUGAGUGAAGUAGAGGUAGACGGAAUUCCUAGUGUAGCGGUGAAAUGCGUAGAUAUUAGGAGGAACAUCAGUGGCGAAGGCGGUCUACUGGGCUUUUACUGACGCUGAGGCUCGAAAGCGUGGGGAGCAAACAGGAUUAGAUACC